This 581-nucleotide ribosomal RNA is filed under the name uncultured fungus. RNAcentral's name for it is "eukaryotic LSU rRNA". It matches the Rfam family "Eukaryotic large subunit ribosomal RNA", at positions 40 to 647 of the family's 3401-position model. The record is from RNAcentral. Lineage: Eukaryota; Fungi.
AUAUCAAUAAGCGGAGGAAAAGAAACCAACAGGGAUUGCCCUAGUAACGGCGAGUGAAGCGGCAACAGCUCAAAUUUGAAAUCUGGCUUCGGCCCGAGUUGUAAUUUGCAGAGGAAGCUUUGGGCGCGGCACCAACUGAGUCCCCUGGAACGGGGCGCCAUAGAGGGUGAGAGCCCCGUAUAGUUGGACGCCUAGCCUGUGUAAAGCUCCUUCGACGAGUCGAGUAGUUUGGGAAUGCUGCUCAAAAUGGGAGGUAAAUUUCUUCUAAAGCUAAAUACCGGCCAGAGACCGAUAGCGCACAAGUAGAGUGAUCGAAAGAUGAAAAGCACUUUGAAAAGAGGGUUAAAUAGCACGUGAAAUUGUUGAAAGGGAAGCGCUUGUGACCAGACUUGCGCCCGGCUGAUCAUCCGGUGUUCUCACCGGUGCACUCUGCCGGGCUCAGGCCAGCAUCGGUUCUCGCGGGGGGAUAAAGGCCCUGGGAACGUAGCUCCUCCGGGAGUGUUAUAGCCCAGGGCGUCAUGCCCCCGCGGGGACCGAGGUUCGCGCAUCUGCAAGGAUGCUGGCGUAAUGGUCAUCAGCGA